CAUUUGAUUGCACAUUUCUUCUUCGAGAUGGUCAAUGGUGGUUUGUUCACCGACAUACACGUUGCUUUUGUAUCCUCAUUUCACACUCCCCCUCCUAUACACUUUUCUUUAUCUUGCACCACUUUUUCAAUUAUACCCAAUUCAUCAUCACUACAACUUUCGCGUUUGCCGCUGACGUUCAAAAUUUUCCCUACUGCCACCAAAGAUUUCGAUAAUGGCAUUUCUAUCUCCGACACCCGAAGAAGCUAAUUACAAAAUCUAAUUCUUUCACCUUGCUGCUAUAAUUGGACAAAUAGGUUCCCUGUCGACCAUCGUUUCACCAUGGAAGCUCCAAAUUUGAAGAUUUAUGGUCGGAUUCAAUUAAUUGAAUCCGAUAAAACUCAAUCCUAACUCUAACAGGGUGAAAUUUGGUGUAAGUAAUGAAAAGAGAAAGAGUGAUUAGAGAUUUGAUGGUCUUGGACAUGUAAUGGAGAUCGUUGGAUGUUGGAGUUGUUCUUUUCACCUUAUUUGGCUUACCUCGUGCUUUCAAAUUUCUGUUCUUCAAUUCGUAUUUUAAAUAAUCUGUUUUCUGUUGGAAUUUUUUUUUUCAAAAAAUAUAAUAUAGGUUUUUUGUUUAAAUAAUUCAUGUUGGGUUUUGACCUAGAAGUUUGGGGUUUGAUUGACGUUUUCUUUGAUUAAUUUCGUUUGAUUUUCAAGUGGAUAGUUCAUGCUUGGAUUUGUGUUAAAGGCUUAAAGCUAAUACAACUUUUGUAAAAGACGGUCUUACAGGAAAGACCGCCUUGUUGUCACCUAAACUGCCACACGAAUUGCUAACGUGUACAUGACAUCAGCAAAUUUCUGGAAAAUAUGUAUACAAUAUUAACAAUUUUAUUUUCAUUUUCUACACCUAAUUCAUUUCUCUCUCCUAAAUAAUUUCCUCUGCAUCUCUCUCCUCAAAAUCUCUUCCCCUCUCUCUCCUCGAAACUGCCGCCUAUCUCUCCCGUCGAAAUCCCCGCCGUAGAUGACGAAGAAGACGACGGAAAAGACAGCGGUGGGGGCUUAUUGAGAAGAGGUGGAGGUUGUGGUGAUGGAGGAGAAGUCGGCCUCCAGACGGAAGACCGCGGCUAUAGCCGCAUAUUGGUGAGCGAACGACCAUCGACAGGGGGAUCGUGGAGCGCGGAUGAGCCUCGUUUCUGCGUAUUCAAGUUUGCAUCUCCAUCACCACCGCCGCGGAACAUAUGGAGAUCAAAGGAACACUCCCAGUCUUGCGGUGGCUACGCUAAUCCCUACUGGUGGCUGCGAAGGAGGUUGUUCAGAUCUAAGGCGAGGCUUCGUCGUCGGAGAUGAGCGGAGGUCAAGGCGGAGUAGUCGAUGGCGAUGGUAGUGGAGGAGUUGGUGUUUUUUGACUCGAUCUUGGUGGCUGUGAUUUUGGCGAUGCGCCUGCGGCGAUGCAAAGGAACAUAGCUGUUGGUUAUGCGGCACAAGCGGUUGAUAUAUGGCUUCGCUAGUGGUUUUCGUUUUAGUUUUAGUUUUAGUUAAGAAUUGUAAUGUUUUAGUUACACUUUUUUUGUAUUUAGUUAAGAAUAAUUAUGUUUUAGUUUUAGUUAUACUUCUGAAAUAAUGGCCUUCUUAUUGGAAUUGCUGGAAUGAUUUUCUAUGUUUUAGUUAUGAAUUUUUAAGUUUUAGUCACGAUUUUUUUGGUUUUAGUUAAGGGUUUUUGAGUUUUAGUUACGUAUUUUUUAGUUUUCA
Long non-coding RNA from Spinacia oleracea (spinach), 1728 nucleotides. RefSeq lists it as uncharacterized. NCBI's taxonomy places the organism in Eukaryota, Viridiplantae, Streptophyta, Magnoliopsida, Caryophyllales, Amaranthaceae. The record is from RefSeq and is a predicted model, not a curated record. The transcript has 3 exons.